Non-coding RNA from Myotis lucifugus (little brown bat), 75 nucleotides. NCBI's taxonomy places the organism in Eukaryota, Metazoa, Chordata, Mammalia, Chiroptera, Vespertilionidae. The record is from Rfam.
GGCAGUUCUCAGGUGACACACCCCGGAAUCAAGCUCCCUCCUCUCUGGUUCCAGGUGUGUCACCAUAGAACCGCA